This 375-nucleotide ribosomal RNA is filed under the name uncultured Glomeromycotina. RNAcentral's name for it is "LSU rRNA". The record is from RNAcentral. Lineage: Eukaryota; Fungi; Glomeromycota.
UUGAAAGGGAAACGAUUGAAGUUAGUCGUACCAGCGGGAAAUCAACCUUUCGAGUGGGGGUUUUGGAGUUUUGAAGAGUUUCAAAACCUUUGAGAUUUCAAAAAUUUCGCUCUUUUGGUGUACUUUCUCGUGGGUAGGUUAACAUCGAUUUUGAUCAUCAUAAAAAGAUUGGAGGAAUGUAGCUUCGAUCUUGUAUUGAAGUGUUAUAGCCUUUGGUAAAUGUGAUGAUUAGGAUCGAGGAUUGCAACGAAUACCCUUUUGGGCUAUCCGCCUGAUCUCUGAUACGUGGCCUUGGUAUCGAAAGCUUGCUUAUGGUAUUAAGGUAUUACGGUCAAAAGGUUAGAACGGAUUACAUUCGUUAAGGAUGUUGACGUA